ACGGAAGGCAGCAGUGGGGAAUAUUGGGCAAUGGGCGAAAGCCUGACCCAGCGACGCCGCGUGAGGGAAGACGGUCUUCGGAUUGUAAACCUCUUUCAGCAGGGAAGAAGAAAGUGACGGUACCUGCAGAAGAAGUCACGGCUAACUACGUGCCAGCAGCCGCGGUAAUACGUAGGUGGCGAGCGUUAUCCGGAAUUACUGGGUGUAAAGGGUGUGUAGGCGGAGGAGCAAGUCAGGUGUGAAAAUUGCGGGCUCAACCCACAAACUGCACUUGAAACUGUUCCCCUUGAGAGUGGGAGAGGUAAACGGAAUUCCUGGUGUAGUAGUGAAAUGCGUAGAUAUCAGGAGGAACACCGGUGGCGAAGGCGGUUUACUGGACCACAACUGACGCUGAGACACGAAAGCGUGGGGAGCAAACAGGAUUAGAUACCCUGGUA
RNAcentral lists this ribosomal RNA (437 nucleotides) under uncultured Oscillospiraceae bacterium. RNAcentral describes it as "partial 16S ribosomal RNA". It matches the Rfam family "Bacterial small subunit ribosomal RNA", at positions 341 to 792 of the family's 1533-position model. Lineage: Bacteria; Bacillati; Bacillota; Clostridia; Eubacteriales; Oscillospiraceae. The record is from RNAcentral.